Molecule: transfer RNA, 73 nt
Filed under: Marmota monax (woodchuck)
Lineage: Eukaryota; Metazoa; Chordata; Mammalia; Rodentia; Sciuridae
Description: tRNA.Ala
Rfam family: tRNA (bases 11-65)
About the family: Transfer RNA (tRNA) molecules are approximately 80 nucleotides in length. Their secondary structure includes four short double-helical elements and three loops (D, anti-codon, and T loops). Further hydrogen bonds mediate the characteristic L-shaped molecular structure. tRNAs have two regions of fundamental functional importance: the anti-codon, which is responsible for specific mRNA codon recognition, and the 3' end, to which the tRNAs corresponding amino acid is attached (by aminoacyl-tRNA synthetases). tRNAs cope with the degeneracy of the genetic code in two manners: having more than one tRNA (with a specific anti-codon) for a particular amino acid; and 'wobble' base-pairing, i.e. permitting non-standard base-pairing at the 3rd anti-codon position.
Source: RNAcentral
UGGGGGAUGGAGCUCAUUGGUAGAGCACCUGCCUAGCAUGCAGGAGGCCCUGGGUUCCAUCCCAGAACCACAA